UUGCUCACUUCGGCAGCACAUAUAUGAGAAUUGGAACCAUAUAGAGACGACUAGCCUGGCCCCUGCACAGUGAUAACAUGCAUAUUCAUGAAUCAUUCCAUAGUUUA
Molecule: small nuclear RNA, 107 nt
Organism: Otolemur garnettii (small-eared galago)
Lineage: Eukaryota; Metazoa; Chordata; Mammalia; Primates; Galagidae
Source: Ensembl